RNAcentral lists this ribosomal RNA (253 nucleotides) under uncultured bacterium. RNAcentral's name for it is "partial 16S ribosomal RNA". It matches the Rfam family "Bacterial small subunit ribosomal RNA", at positions 524 to 776 of the family's 1533-position model. The record is from RNAcentral.
UACGAAGGGAGCUAGCGUUGUUCGGAAUCACUGGGCGUAAAGCGCACGUAGGCAGAUUUGUCAGUCGGGGGUGAAGUCCCGAGGCUCAACCUCGGAACUGCCUCCGAUACAGCAAAUCUCGAGUCCGGGAGAGGUGGGUGGAAUUCCUAGUGUAGAGGUGAAAUUCGUAGAUAUUAGGAAGAACACCAGUGGCGAAGGCUGCCCACUGGCCCGGUACUGACGCUGAGGUGCGAAAGCGUGGGGAGCAAACAGG